RNAcentral lists this ribosomal RNA (261 nucleotides) under Triticum aestivum (bread wheat). RNAcentral describes it as "partial small subunit ribosomal RNA". The record is from RNAcentral. Lineage: Eukaryota; Viridiplantae; Streptophyta; Magnoliopsida; Poales; Poaceae.
AUGAACAAUCAGGAGGGGGUUAAUGCUUUGGGAGUUGAGAGAGUUGAUGGGAGGGACAACCGAAGAAGCAUAUCGAGAAGAAAUUCACAUCUACUUGUCCAAGAUGAUGUAUGUGCUCAUCUUGAUGCCUUGGUAGAUGAUCAUCAUCAUGAAUCCACUGUGAAGGUCCUCGAUUCUUAUAUGCAUUCAGUUUCUGAACCACCUCAACCUUCUUGCUCCUGCUGCUUCGGCCAGCAAGACUCCCUCCACGGUCGACCCUGA